GGGGAAAACAGCCCCAUUAACGAAAGAAGAAGCUAAAAAUAAACUAGCAAGCUAGAAAGGAAAACACAUCAGCUACCCAGGGAAAAUGUUAUCCAGAUUUCAAUCUGCAAAGCAUCUUGCUUUGGAAUAUGGACCAUGCUCAUUUGCUUUCUAAAUCUCACGCACAAGCGUAUUCUCCUUUCCGGUCCUAGAUUUUUGUUUCUGCAAGCGGCAAGUGACUUAAGGGCGUGUUUGAUUUUUAGGUUGGUUUUCCAUUUGAGUCUUCUUUCUUUUACCACAUUGAAAAGCUACUUCCCUCUUUUCACUCUUAAGUUCAAAAACAGAAUGAAGAUUUCAAACAAAUCCCCCAGAUCUGCAAGCAACAGACGCUAAAAUCGUUCAGAUCUUUCCCUCUUGUGUGCGUUUUUCCGGCGACGAUUCUGGUACCCAAGUCCUGACCAUCGAACUCACACCUGCAAGCACUAUAGAUUCACCCAGAGACCACAACCAGCAGAUCUGCGCCGCAGAUCGAAAAAGAAGAAAUGGAGGAUAAAGGGGUUCAGCAGAUCGGGAAUGGGAAGGAACCCUAAGCUUUGGAGUUGAAGAUGAAGAAAGUGAUGAAUCGGUUUGGGGAUAAUGAAUUGUGGAAUAAUGAAUUUGGGAGUGGUGAAUUGGGUGAUAAUCAAUUUUUCCCAUAACUAUAUAAUCCUUCACUAACUAUUUUCCUAAUUAUAUUAUAAUUUAUUAAAUAUUUUAUUUUUUAAAAAUAAGAAUUACUUGCUAAACUUUCUAUUGCAGGUCAAAAGGUACAUGUAUAACCUUACACAAGUAUUUAGAUGUGCAUGCUAACACGAUGUUAUAUUCCUCAUGUAACAAAAAAAAAAAAACCAACACGAUGUUGAUCCAAUGGUAGAAAAUUAAAUCAUGUAAAAGUGAGGUCACAAUAUAAACCCUGAAAAAAUCAAGGGAAAAAAAACUUCAUCUAUGUAUUGUUGAUUUUAGACUGGGCCAAAUUUAGUCAAAUAUUAGAUUGGAUUUGAAUUUAAAUAGCGCCCAAAACAUAGCAUCGGUGCAACCAAACGAAACCCUUGCCUUGCCACCACUAGCCACCGCCACUGCCACAUUUCCCUCCUCCAACGCCGUCUGCAGAAGCAAACCGAUCGAAUCUCAGAGCGAAAAUGUCAGGAAAUUCACCAAACACGACGAAGAGGAAACUUCCCUCUAAUCAUCACGAUGAAAAGAAUAAGAAAACACACGUUCAGGUGAAGGCAGAAAAAAUGGACAACAGUGACAUGAAUUCGAAUUGCUUAUGCGGUAUUUGCUUUGAUCACAAAAAGGAAACUGAAAUGUUCAGAGGAAGCAAGUGCAACCACCCCUUUUGCGCUGAUUGCAUAUCCAAGCAUGUCGCUGCUCAGAUUCAACAAAAUGCUCUCAAGGUGAAUUGUCCAAAGCCUAAUUGCGGUGUCGAAUUGGAGCCGGAGUAUUUGAACCCGAUUUUGCCUGAAGAAGUCAUUGUUCGAUUGGAAUCCGCGAGGUGCGAGUCUUUGAUCGCGGGGUUGCGGAAGACUUAUUGCCCAUUUAAGGAUUGUUCUGUUUUGUUGGUGGAUGAUGGGGGUGAAGUUGUGACUGCUGCUGAGUGCCCCUCUUGCCAUAGGUUGUUUUGUGCUCAGUGUUUGGUUCCGUGGCACGCGGGGUUGAAUUGUAAGGAGUACUUGGCGCCUGCUGAUAGGAAAGUUGAGAAGGAUUUAGAUAGGAAGUUUCUUGAUUUGGCUAAAAAUAGCAUGUGGCAGAGAUGCCCCAAAUGCAACUUCUAUGUCCAAAGAAGUAGUGGAUGUGAACACAUGGCUUGCAGGUGUGGAUGCAACUUCUGCUACCACUGUGGGAAGGAUUGGGUGCAUGGACAUAUAUGUGAUCAACCUUAGUCCAUAUCAGAUUUCACAGAUGGCUGAACAGUUGGAAGUUCGCUUGGCAAUCUAAGAAGUUCAAGCUAUUAUUCAUCACAAUGAAAGGAAAUUUGAUACAUGAUACACGAGCAGGUCCUGAAUUAUGCCUUGUUUUUCUUCUGCUCAAGCACUGCUGUGUGUGUUACAACCUUACCCAUCUUCAUAUGGAUUGGGGUCUGGGGAACAGUUCUAUGGAGUUGCUCUGGUAUGUGGAUUUUUGGUCCCUGCACCAACUAUGAUCAUAGCCUUCCUCGCUGAGUUGCUGGCUAUAGGGCCACCUUUUGUGCCUCAGAUUGCUUACAAGUAGUGGAAGUCCUUUACGACAACGUGGAUGUCUCUACAUUUUGGGAUAAGGAUACUAUCUUGCCCGUUAGGAUGUUACUCACUUGACUUGAGAUUGACAUGCUUCGGUGAUUCAUAUCCCUCGUGAGAGGAAUAAUGCGAUGGAAUUCCUCGCUCAUCUAGCAUCUAGGGAAGGUACCCCUCAUCGUGUUGGGGGAUUCCACACCAUCAUUCAUUGUAGCUUCGUUGUUC
RNA transcript from Lotus japonicus, 2456 nucleotides. It is a transcript of the gene named E3 ubiquitin-protein ligase RSL1-like, with no coding region annotated. The record is from RefSeq and is a predicted model, not a curated record. The transcript is spliced from 4 exons. Lineage: Eukaryota; Viridiplantae; Streptophyta; Magnoliopsida; Fabales; Fabaceae.